This is a non-coding RNA of Macaca mulatta (Rhesus monkey), 2719 nucleotides long. Lineage: Eukaryota; Metazoa; Chordata; Mammalia; Primates; Cercopithecidae. The record is from RefSeq and is a predicted model, not a curated record.
GGGAGGCCUGGGGCUGGAGAUAGUUCCAGUUAUUAGAAAGAUCUUCUUACAAGCCAUUCCUGCAGCUCGGGCUGCAGGGUCAGGAGGAGGCUGGAGGGAGGGAAACCUGGGUCAGGGGAGCAGGGGUUGGGGGAGCUUGUGAAUGUGGAGGUCAGAGAACCCACAUGCUCCUAGCUGAUAAAGAUGCAGAACCCCAAAUUAAAGAGGUGUACCCCAGCUCUGGGAAUGCCUGAGAAUGCUGGAGAAUUCCUGGAGGACUCCUCCUCCUCCUACACACACACACACACACACACACACACACACACACACACACACACACACGAGCAAUGUUCUUCUCUGCCUUCCUACUCCCUUUCAGCUCUACCACCAGGCAGAGCAGAGGGUGCAGCAAGUGCGUCUGUGCUCCAGGGUCCCCCCAAGCCCACAGAACCCCUAAAUAGGAAAGGGGAGCCCCCAAAAUGGAGAAAGCACCAGGUCUCUCUGCAGAGCUCCCUGAUAAGUGGGAAUCGAUCUAAUUUCAUUGUCCCCUCCAGUAAGAUCCCUCUCUUGCUCCUCCACUGCUUUCCCUUCCCCUUGUCUCCCCUGGGUGAUUCUGAGCACAGACUCAGUCUUUCUGGGAGAUGCCAACUCACAUCAUCCUAACCCUCCGCUAACCUCACCCUCCAACUCCACCAGGCCUUCCCCAGACCAGAGCCCCCAUCCUGAAGGAUGCUGGGACUCUCAGCCACCCCAGAGAAGGUGGCCCACCCAUAUGCAUGUCAGUGGUCUCUGUGGGCCCCUGCCAAGAACAUCUUUUGGAGUGUCUGCCUCCCCUCUACCUUAACGCUGAACCCCAGCUGGGAGCUAGGCCCCCCUUCCUCUGCAUCCCCACCCUGUCCUGCCCUCAUGCCCUCUCAGAGUGCAUCCAACCCAGGCAGAUGAGGGAUCAAUGCCAAUCCAAUAACGCAGUUGUCUGCCCUCUGCAGCUACAUUAAGCCUCCCCCAGCAAGCUGAGGAAACUCUCCUACUUCUACCCAUGGGCUUAUCUAGUUGACCACAUUAAACCAGCGCCCACUUCCUCUCACUCCCUCUGAUGGCGCCAGGUAGUCGCUCCAGGCCAGGCCUAGGAGCCCGGCCCAAUGUCCCCAGCUGCCACACAUCCAUUCCUCAGAAAGUUCCUCUGGGGAGCAGUGAUGCAAAAGGGCUUCCCCAAUCUUUUGGAAGAGUGAGCACAGAGAAGUCUGGGGAGGUGCCCAUGGACACACAGCAGGCCCAUCUGAGUCUUCUCUAACCACCCAUUUCCCUGGUAACUUGGCCUUGGUCCAGGUCCAAGGUCCGCGUUAAAGACAAGUCAGAGGCCCAGGUUCAAAGUCUAGGUCGAGGUCUAACAUUCAGUCCAAUCAUCCAAGUACAGAUCUGAGGUCCAAGUCCAAUGCCUAGGUCAAACUUCAGGUAUAGGACCAGGUCCAUGGACUAGGUACAAGGUCAGUGUCUGAGGUUAUAGGUCCAGGUCUGCUAUCCAGAACAAAUCCAUGUCCAAUUUCAAAUUUCAAUAUCUAUGAACAGGUCCAGGGCAAAGCGCUGGGUCCAGAAUCAAGAUUCAGGCCCAGUUUCCAGUCCAAGGUCAUGUCCAGAUCUAUUCUCAAGGCUGGCCUGAGUUCAAGUCUUAGAUUCACCAUUAGCCUUCCGGGUGGUCCUGGCCUAGUCUCUCCUCUCCUCCCAGCCUCCGUUUCCCUUUCAUGAUACCAAACAGUUGAAUAUGAUCUCUUUCAGCUUUGACCUUCUAGGGACCCAGAAAUCUAAUUUUCCUGUGAAUUAACAGGGCUCAGUGGAAGUGUGGAAUGAUGAGACCCAUGUGAGAUACGGAAUCUGGGAACCCCUGAUUUCCUCUAAAGCCUGGGGUUACGAGAGGGUCAUGAGGGUCCCGAGCUGAGCUUCCACACUUUAGAGAGUCUCAGUCUUUGACUGCUGAAGGAGGGCGGGAGAGUACACCAAGUCCCUUAUGUCAGUGCAGCAGUCUACACAUCCCAAAGGCACUCUCUGGCCACACAAAUCCACAGUGGGCAAAGGGCAGGGGGGGCAGGGGAGGAUUCACUCCAACCUACAGAGGCAAAACUGAGGUCACAGAGGGGCCAUGACUUGCCCGAAGUCACAAGAGCAUAAAUGGUGUGCCCUGUCACACCUCCCUGGUGGGUGCUACAUCCACAGGUUCUAGGGGCCCCCACAGCCUGGAGGCCCUCUGCCAGGAGAGAUGGGGUCCCUCAGGCCUCUUGGUCUCCUUCCCAGCUGUGGACUCCCCUGCAGUGAAGUGUCUACUGCCAGCCUUUGGGCAAAUGAGCAGCCUUUGUUAAAGGCGCCCCUACUUUAUAAAGAGCCCCUUGCAACAAGAGUAAAGUCAACAGUGCUGAAGGCCACCAGCAGAGGGCGCCAUGGGCAGAGCACCUCAUUGAGAACGCUCUGGUUCACUGAUGGAGCUCCUACUAUGCACCAGAAAUUUUCCCAUCAGAAUGUGAAAUAGAAAUUACACAUCCUGGGUGAGGAAACAGAGGCCCAGAGAGGAGCAGUAAAAUGUGUUGGGGCAGACGCCAAGAAAGCUGCAGCACAGAAACCCAUCUGGGGAGAUUGUUAUUGUUGUUCAUGGUAACAGCCAACAUGCAUGGUGGAUUUAAAAUGUGCCAGCCACUGAGCUGGAAUCCUGACUCUAACUUAUUAGCUGCACAAUCUUAGGCUUGUUACUUAA